CUGGAAGGUGGGUGUGCAUCGAGCAGUUGCCACAGCACUGUUCUUGAUUUCUACAUUCUGCACCAAUGCUGCAUAAGGGAAAAGUAGUUUUCUAUUUGUUGCUAAAACAAGAAGAAAAAAAAGAAAAAAAGCCAUCAUUUAGCUAUAAGCAAUUAAAGGAGAAAUGCAUUGUGACCUAAUUUUCUAUUUCAGCUCCAUCCAUCUCAGUUUUCUUCUACGAAUUGCCUAUCAUAUACAGAUAUCUAUCUACAUGGACAUAUAUUUUAAAAUAUUUUCUCUUGGUUUGUGGCAAAAACAGGUUGUAAGAAGCACAAUACCACUACUGUCAUCAAGCACCGCGGAUGUGUAUCUCCUGCACCUGUUGAGAUGACAUACUGUGAAGGCAGCUGUGAUGCUUACUCACGAUAUUCUCAAGAAGCAAACAUGAUGGAACAUAAAUGCUCAUGUUGUCAGGAAGUCCAGACUAGCAUAAGAAAGGUGACUCUGACGUGCAGUGAUGGAACCCACCUUGAUCACUCAUACACCUACGUGGAGCAAUGCAGCUGUGUGGGUGCUGAGUGCGUUCCCCAAGACAUUGUCAACCAACAACAGCAAACAGGCAAUAUAUGAGGCAAAGACCUCUCAAGAAAAAGGAAAUGUCUAAAAUUAGAACUAAAGAGAAGCCAAACAAGAGUUGAACAUAGACUAAAACAAACCUUUGGAAAAAAAAAAAAAAGUAACAAAAGCAGCUAAAAUUUUGGACAAACAGAAGAUAUUUUCUGCAUACAAGCUCAAUAUAUCUGUCUACAUUAUUUCAGUUUUCAUUACCAUUGUAUCUCAUACUGGUUUUCAUGUCUUUUCUUUGACAUCUUGAGAGGUACAGUGUAAGAUCAUUUUGACAUUUGUUGCUAGUUUGUAUGUCUUCUGGAAAGCACUAUACCAUAAGACUGAGAGCUUACAUUUACACAAUGUCAACAUUCUUUUCUGGCUUGACGCUUUCCUAUGGUCACACAAUUAAUAUACACUGUAUAGGCAUAAAAUAAACUUUACUGCAUACGAAAAAAAAGUUUUGCU
Molecule: long non-coding RNA, 1053 nt
Filed under: Anser brachyrhynchus (Pink-footed goose)
Lineage: Eukaryota; Metazoa; Chordata; Aves; Anseriformes; Anatidae
Description: lncRNA (ENSABRG00000020477.1)
Source: RNAcentral